RNAcentral lists this ribosomal RNA (429 nucleotides) under Actinomycetes bacterium. RNAcentral's name for it is "Actinobacteria bacterium partial 16S ribosomal RNA". It matches the Rfam family "Bacterial small subunit ribosomal RNA", at positions 355 to 776 of the family's 1533-position model. The record is from RNAcentral. Lineage: Bacteria; Bacillati; Actinomycetota; Actinomycetes.
UAGGGAAUCUUCCGCAAUGGGCGAAAGCCUGACGGAGCAACGCCGCGUGAGUGAUGAAGGUCUUCGGAUCGUAAAACUCUGUUAUUAGGGAAGAACAAAUGUGUAAGUAACUAUGCACGUCUUGACGGUACCUAAUCAGAAAGCCACGGCUAACUACGUGCCAGCAGCCGCGGUAAUACGUAGGUGGCAAGCGUUAUCCGGAAUUAUUGGGCGUAAAGCGCGCGUAGGCGGUUUUUUAAGUCUGAUGUGAAAGCCCACGGCUCAACCGUGGAGGGUCAUUUGAAGCUGGAAAACUUGAGUGCAGAAGAGGAAAGUGGAAUUCCGUGUGUAGCGGUGAAAUGCGCAGAGAUAUGGAGGAACACCAGUGGCGAAGGCGACUUUCUGGUCUGUAACUGACGCAGAUGUGCGAAAGCGUGGGGAUCAAACAGG